Molecule: ribosomal RNA, 480 nt
Filed under: Priestia aryabhattai
Lineage: Bacteria; Bacillati; Bacillota; Bacilli; Caryophanales; Bacillaceae
Description: bacterial SSU rRNA
Rfam family: Bacterial small subunit ribosomal RNA
Source: RNAcentral
AGUCGAGCGAACUGAUUAGAAGCUUGCUUCUAUGACGUUAGCGGCGGACGGGUGAGUAACACGUGGGCAACCUGCCUGUAAGACUGGGAUAACUUCGGGAAACCGAAGCUAAUACCGGAUAGGAUCUUCUCCUUCAUGGGAGAUGAUUGAAAGAUGGUUUCGGCUAUCACUUACAGAUGGGCCCGCGGUGCAUUAGCUAGUUGGUGAGGUAACGGCUCACCAAGGCAACGAUGCAUAGCCGACCUGAGAGGGUGAUCGGCCACACUGGGACUGAGACACGGCCCAGACUCCUACGGGAGGCAGCAGUAGGGAAUCUUCCGCAAUGGACGAAAGUCUGACGGAGCAACGCCGCGUGAGUGAUGAAGGCUUUCGGGUCGUAAAACUCUGUUGUUAGGGAAGAACAAGUACGAGAGUAACUGCUCGUACCUUGACGGUACCUAACCAGAAAGCCACGGCUAACUACGUGCCAGCAGCCGCGGU